RNAcentral lists this ribosomal RNA (254 nucleotides) under uncultured bacterium. RNAcentral describes it as "partial 16S ribosomal RNA". It matches the Rfam family "Bacterial small subunit ribosomal RNA", at positions 524 to 776 of the family's 1533-position model. The record is from RNAcentral.
UACGUAGGGUGCGAGCGUUGUCCGGAAUUAUUGGGCGUAAAGAGCUCGUAGGCGGUCUGUCGCGUCGGUCGUGAAAACUUGGGGCUUAACCCUGAGCUUGCGGUCGAUACGGGCAUGACUGGAGUUCGGCAGGGGAGACUGGAAUUCCUGGUGUAGCGGUGAAAUGCGCAGAUAUCAGGAGGAACACCGGUGGCGAAGGCGGGUCUCUGGACCGAUACUGACGCUGAGGAGCGAAAGCGUGGGGAGCGAACAGG